RNAcentral lists this ribosomal RNA (497 nucleotides) under uncultured bacterium. Its description in RNAcentral is "partial 16S ribosomal RNA". It matches the Rfam family "Bacterial small subunit ribosomal RNA", at positions 28 to 507 of the family's 1533-position model. The record is from RNAcentral.
GAUGAACGCUGGCGGCGUGCCUAAUACAUGCAAGUCGAGCGAACAGAUGAGGAGCUUGCUCCUCUGACGUUAGCGGCGGACGGGUGAGUAACACGCGGAUAACCUACCUAUAGGACUGGGAUAACUUCGGGAAACCGGAGCUAAUACCGGAUAAUAUAUUGAACCGCAUGGUUCAAUAGUGAAAGACGGUUUUGCUGUCACUUAUAGAUGGAUCCGCGCCGCAUUAGCUAGUUGGUAAGGUAACGGCUUACCAAGGCAACGAUGCGUAGCCGACCUGAGAGGGUGAUCGGCCACACUGGAACUGAGACACGGUCCAGACUCCUACGGGAGGCAGCAGUAGGGAAUCUUCCGCAAUGGGCGAAAGCCUGACGGAGCAACGCCGCGUGAGUGAUGAAGGUCUUCGGAUCGUAAAACUCUGUUAUUAGGGAAGAACAAAUGUGUAAGUAACUAUGCACGUCUUGACGGUACCUAAUCAGAAAGCCACGGCUAACUACGUG